GCAACCUGCCUGUAAGCGGGGAAUAACCCGUUGAAAGACGGACUAAUACCGCAUAAUACUAAAUUACUGCAUGGUAAUUUAUUUAAACAUUUAUGGCUUACAGAUGGGCAUGCGCAUGAUUAGCUAGUUGGAGAGGUAACGGCUCCCCAAGGCAACGAUCAUUAGGGGUUCUGAGAGGAAGGUCCCCCACACUGGUACUGAGACACGGACCAGACUCCUACGGGAGGCAGCAGUGAGGAAUAUUGGUCAAUGGACGAGAGUCUGAACCAGCCAAGUCGCGUGCAGGAAGAAUGUCCUUAAUGGAUUGUAAACUGCUUUUGCAGGGGAAUAAAGUGCAUCACGUGUGAUGUUUUGUAUGUACUCUGCGAAUAAGGAUCGGCUAACUCCGUGCCAGCCGCUGC
This 401-nucleotide ribosomal RNA is filed under the name uncultured bacterium. Its description in RNAcentral is "bacterial SSU rRNA". It matches the Rfam family "Bacterial small subunit ribosomal RNA", at positions 121 to 518 of the family's 1533-position model. The record is from RNAcentral.